GUCGGAGUGGCGGAAUUGGCAGACGCGCUAGCUUGAGGGGCUAGUGGGCUUAGGCUCGUGGGGGUUCAAGUCCCCCCUCCGACA
Molecule: transfer RNA, 84 nt
Filed under: Acidimicrobiales bacterium
Lineage: Bacteria; Bacillati; Actinomycetota; Acidimicrobiia; Acidimicrobiales
Description: tRNA-Leu
Rfam family: tRNA
About the family: Transfer RNA (tRNA) molecules are approximately 80 nucleotides in length.
Source: RNAcentral